Molecule: long non-coding RNA, 764 nt
Filed under: Triticum aestivum (bread wheat)
Lineage: Eukaryota; Viridiplantae; Streptophyta; Magnoliopsida; Poales; Poaceae
Description: long non-coding RNA (TAES_LNC020045)
Source: RNAcentral
AGAUCAAGAAGCUCUUCAACCUUGGCAAGGAUGAUGAUGUCCGCAGCUAUGUCAACACAUACCGCAGGACCUUCCUUAACAAGAAGGGUGAGUUCUCAACCGUGCCCUAUUCUUGUUCCAUCUUGGAUCCUGCUUGCCCACUUUCACUUUUCUUUAGGAAAAAUAUUCUUUCCUUGUAAUAUCAUAGUGCUUGUCUGAGCAGUUUUGUGUCUCUCAUUUACUUCUUUCUUACCUAGAUCAUAUUGUUCCUUAUUUCCAGGCAAGAAGGUGAGCAAGGCUCCCAAGAUCCAGCGCCUUGUGACUCCCUUGACACUCCAGAGGAAGCGCGCCAGAAUAGCAGACAAGAAGAAGAGGAUCGCAAAGAAGAAGUCAGAGGCUGCAGAGUACCAGAAGCUGCUUGCACAGAGGCUCAAGGAGCAGAGAGACCGCCGCAGCGAGAGCAUGGCCAAGAGGAGGUCGAAGCUGUCUGCUGCCACCAAGGCUCCUGCUGCCUCUGCCUAAGAUGUUUACAGUCUUCCGUUAUUAGCUGUAAUAGUGGAAGAAUUUCUCGCACUUUGUUGGAUGAUAUGAAUCUAGCUGCUACUUUCAGCGUUGUUGAGUUGUAAUUGAUGCUGUUUUGCGUGAACAUGGGUACCUUAAUCGUCAGGAGUUUGUUACUGAAUGAACAAAAUUGCAUGAACUUGGAUAAUUGAUGCAGUUUUGUGUGAACAUGGAAUCUUAUCAAGAGGUACUUGUUACUCAAGUUCUAUGGUGGUUCAGGUUGA